UAAUUUAAGUGAAAAUUAUUAUUCGAUAAAAUUGGAUUUUAGCGGGACUAAGGAAAGAUCGAUAAAUCAAAAUAAAAUAAUUGGUAAGUUCCAAGCUAAUAAAUUUUUAAGAUAAGGUUCGUAAAAUAAAUUUAUGGACCUAAGAAUAAAUCAUAUAAAUUUGGACGAAAGCAUUUUAUUAAACGGAAUUUUAAUUAUCGAAAAAAAAGGGAUAUAAAUAAAUUAUUUGGACCCGAAGAAAUAAAUAAUGCGAUGGAGUCCAUUAUUUAUCUAUAAAGAAUAAUCGUCAAGUUUUCGUGUAAUUAUGAAAACGAUUAGGAUCAAAGUGUAAGAAUAGAAAAUCGAAGGAUUUAGUUGUAAGAGGUGCCUAAUUUAAGCACUUAGAUGGACUUUUUACCCAUCAAAUUAAUUAGAUGAGGACACCUACUCCCCUCCACCUCUUAAUCAUUUUCUCUAGCAGCCAAAUUAGAGAUCAAAAACUCAAAAGGACUUCCAUUUCUCUUCUCCUUUGCCGAAGGAAAACUCCAUCAACCUAGCUUCACUUUUUCUCAAUGGAAUUCAACAAUUUUUGAUGCAAAAUGAUCAUGAGAUGGUGGGUAAGCAAGGUAUAAAUCCAUGAAUUGGAGCUUGAAGGAUGAAGAUUUAAUGAUGGAAACUUGACAUAGGGGUUCGGCCGAAUGGUUCCUCCAUCAUGCUCAAGACCCGGCGAGACGAUUACUAACGGGACUCGGAACAUGACGAACGCGAUACCGUUUUACGAAUUCUCGAAGAUUAUGGUUAGCAAGUGUGUUUUAUUUCAGGUGAUAGUAUUUGAAGAGAUGGACUUCCAUUCUUGUUUCGGAAGUCUGCAAUAUAUAAAGUAUGUAUUGAAGUACGCUUCAAUUCGUAGCGCUGCAGUAGUCAGUAGAUGUCACCCUAUAUUUGAUUGUUUAUAUCAAACAAGGUCCAGCUGUUAACUCUGAUUUUAUAAUAUAUACAUACACGGUUUAUAAAACUAUAUUUUUACCAGUUUGAUAUUUUCAACAAUUGUCUAUGAAUGAAAUUGGUAUGAAAUUGUUUGACUCGAAACAAGGCAAUGCUGAGUUAUGUUAUCGCAGAGUAAGACCUUGGUUCCUAUCGAUUAUGCAUCGGUUUUCAAAGAACGGUUUCGACGUAUAUGAAAUAUUGUUUUACGAUGUUUUCUCGAAAACGUUUUGUGCAUAAUUUUAUGUUUGAUUUGCGAAAAAAAUUUACUCGUUUUUAGGCUUGCUACGGGUUCCGGAGCAACCACUCCCGUUCCCUAGCGCCGGUCUCGGCCCUCGAUUUUGGGUCGUGACAAAGGUGGUAUCAGAGCAGUUGGUCCAGGAUACCACUGCUUUGUGUGUCAGUCUACCUAGGAACUACUGCAGCACAUAAGAUUCGAGUCAUGUCUUGAUCGGUUUUCGUCUUAUUUUAAAACUUUCAACUCUCCUCUCUAAGAUGCGAGUCUAUUAGGAAGUUCAAUAAGAUUGUUUGACGAGAUACACAUGCGUAGAUAUUCCGCUUAUGCCUAGACGUUGGGCCUAUGUUUUGAUGCCCUUCCUAGGCAUUGAUAUAUCGCUUUUGUAUUCAGAUUUGAUUAUAUGGACACAUGCUCAGCAUGUUAGUAAGAUAUGAUUAUGUUA
Long non-coding RNA from Mercurialis annua (annual mercury), 1643 nucleotides. RefSeq lists it as uncharacterized. The record is from RefSeq and is a predicted model, not a curated record. The transcript has 5 exons. NCBI's taxonomy places the organism in Eukaryota, Viridiplantae, Streptophyta, Magnoliopsida, Malpighiales, Euphorbiaceae.